GGUGAACGCUGGCGGCGUGCCUAAUACAUGCAAGUCGAGCGAACAGACGAGGAGCUUGCUCCUCUGACGUUAGCGGCGGACGGGUGAGUAACACGUGGAUAACCUACCUAUAAGACUGGGAUAACUUCGGGAAACCGGAGCUAAUACCGGAUAAUAUAUUGAACCGCAUGGUUUAAUAGUGAAAGACGGUUUUGCUGUCACUUAUAGAUGGAUCCGCGCCGCAUUAGCUAGUUGGUAAGGUAACGGCUUACCAAGGCAACGAUGCGUAGCCGACCUGAGAGGGUGAUCGGCCACACUGGAACUGAGACACGGUCCAGACUCCUACGGGAGGCAGCAGUAGGGAAUCUUCCGCAAUGGGCGAAAGCCUGACGGAGCAACGCCGCGUGAGUGAUGAAGGUCUUCGGAUCGUAAAACUCUGUUAUUAGGGAAGAACAAAUGUGUAAGUAACUAUGCACGUCUUAACGGUACCUAAUCAGAAAGCCACGGCUAACUACGUG
This 497-nucleotide ribosomal RNA is filed under the name uncultured bacterium. RNAcentral's name for it is "partial 16S ribosomal RNA". It matches the Rfam family "Bacterial small subunit ribosomal RNA", at positions 28 to 507 of the family's 1533-position model. The record is from RNAcentral.